RNAcentral lists this ribosomal RNA (447 nucleotides) under uncultured bacterium. Its description in RNAcentral is "partial 16S ribosomal RNA". It matches the Rfam family "Bacterial small subunit ribosomal RNA", at positions 29 to 523 of the family's 1533-position model. The record is from RNAcentral.
AGCGAACGCUGGCGGCAGGCCUAAUACAUGCAAGUCGAACGCCCCUUCGGGGGAGUGGCGGACGGGUGAGUAACGCGUGGGAACGUGCCCUUUGGUACGGAACAACUGAGGGAAACUUCAGCUAAUACCGUAUGUGCCCUUCGGGGGAAAGAUUUAUCGCCAUUGGAGCGGCCCGCGUUGGAUUAGCUAGUUGGUGGGGUAAAGGCCCACCAAGGCGACGAUCCAUAGCUGGUCUGAGAGGAUGACCAGCCACACUGGGACUGAGACACGGCCCAGACUCCUACGGGAGGCAGCAGUAGGGAAUCUUGGGCAAUGGGCGAAAGCCUGACCCAGCCAUGCCGCGUGAAUGAUGAAGGUCUUAGGAUUGUAAAAUUCUUUCACCGGGGACGAUAAUGACGGUACCCGGAGAAGAAGCUCCGGCUAACUUCGUGCCAGCAGCCGCAGUAA